UACAGAGGAUGCAAGCGUUAUCCGGAAUGAUUGGGCGUAAAGCGUCUGUAGGUGGCUUUUUAAGUCCGCCGUCAAAUCCCAGGGCUCAACUCUGGACAGGCGGUGGAAACUACCAAGCUGGAGUAUGGUAGGGGCAGAGGGAAUUUCCGGUGGAGCGGUGAAAUGCGUAGAGAUCGGAAGGAACGCCGGUGGCGAAAGCGGUCGACUGGGCCUCUUCUGACGCUGAGGCGCGAAAGCCAGGGGAGCGAACGGG
Molecule: ribosomal RNA, 253 nt
Filed under: uncultured bacterium
Lineage: Bacteria
Description: partial 16S ribosomal RNA
Rfam family: Bacterial small subunit ribosomal RNA
Source: RNAcentral